GAUGAACGCUAGCGAUAGGCCUAACACAUGCAAGUCGAGGGGCAGCACAUGAGUAGCAAUACGAUGGUGGCGACCGGCGCACGGGUGAGUAACACGUAUGCAACCUACCUCUAACAGGGGGAUAACCCGUUGAAAGACGGACUAAUACCCCAUAAUACAGGGGCUCCGCAUGGAGAUAUUUGUUAAAGAUUUUAUCGGUUAGAGAUGGGCAUGCGUUCCAUUAGCUAGUUGGUGAGGUAACGGCUCACCAAGGCGACGAUGGAUAGGGGAACUGAGAGGUUUAUCCCCCACACUGGAACUGAGACACGGUCCAGACUCCUACGGGAGGCAGCAGUGAGGAAUAUUGGUCAAUGGAGGCAACUCUGAACCAGCCAAGUCGCGCGAAGGAUGAAGGUCUUAUGGAUUGUAAACUUCUUUUGCAGGGGAAUAAAUAGCGGUACGUGUACCGUUUUGCAUGUACCCUGCGAAUAAGGAUCGGCUAACUCCGUGCCAGCAGCCG
RNAcentral lists this ribosomal RNA (499 nucleotides) under uncultured bacterium. RNAcentral describes it as "bacterial SSU rRNA". It matches the Rfam family "Bacterial small subunit ribosomal RNA", at positions 28 to 517 of the family's 1533-position model. The record is from RNAcentral.